UUCAGUUUUGUUUCGGGCUCAGCGGAGUAACAACUCUGUAAUAAUUUCGAGUAAAAAUGUUCUUAUAAAAAUGUUUUUAGUACAAAUUUGCUGUGAAAAUGUUUUAUAAAUGUUCAACUACUGAGCACUAUUGCUCAUAAUUGUGGGCUUACACAAAAUAUUGCAAAAUUGGUAAAUGGAAGUUCGCCAGCUCCGUUCAAGAAAUCGAAAACACAGAAUGUCGUCGUGAUUUGGGCACACGACGACUUCGUCACAUUACAAAUUACAACAAGGUUUACUCUUGACAAACUGACAAGCACCACACACAAUGCAAUCCACUGCACACGAAUACAAGAUAGAUCGCGUAUCCACGGGAUACUGGGAGCUGAGCGAUUCCAUUCCGAUUUUGUAGCGCUUCAGCACGAUGAGUUUUGAAUACGUCGAAUUAUAUUAUCAUAUUGGCAACACCAUUUUCCACACUCAACAAAUAGUAAGACAUUAAAUAAAGUUAUAUAGAAUACACUUAAA
Long non-coding RNA from Drosophila yakuba, 507 nucleotides. RefSeq lists it as uncharacterized. Lineage: Eukaryota; Metazoa; Arthropoda; Insecta; Diptera; Drosophilidae. The transcript is spliced from 4 exons. The record is from RefSeq and is a predicted model, not a curated record.